Molecule: long non-coding RNA, 808 nt
Organism: Lepidothrix coronata (blue-crowned manakin)
Lineage: Eukaryota; Metazoa; Chordata; Aves; Passeriformes; Pipridae
Exons: 2
Source: RefSeq, a predicted model, not a curated record
UUUCCUGGAUUUCUGCCUUCCUUUCUGUCCCGUUUCCCGCGGGCUCUGCGGGAUUCCCGCAUUCCCAGCAAUUCCUGGCCGUGCACGUUCCGGAGCGGCGCCAGUUCUGGCUGGGCCUGACGGACGAGCCCAGCGAGGGCUCCUGGCACUGGGUCACCGGGGCGGCCCUGCAGCUCCAGUUCUGGAACAGCGGCGAACCCAACGACGUCGGCCACCACGGCGAGGACUGUGCCGGGAUCUACUCCAACGGCCUCUGGAACGACCUGCCCUGCUUCAGCCCCGAGCGCUGGAUCUGUGAGCGGCCCUGCUGACCCUCCCCCCGCUCCGAAAUCCACCGAAAUCCGGCAAAAUCCGGCAAAAUCCAACAGAAAACCACCGUCCGCCGGGAAAAUCCGCCCGUUUGGGGCGGAAAACCUCCAAAAACGGGGCUCGGGAUCCGCCCAAAGUCUUCCCAAAAAUCUUCCCCCAAGCGGGAAGUGCUGCUGGAGUGGGGGUGGAACAGCAGGGGGGAGAUUUUUGGGGGCGUUUGGGGGUUUUUUGAGGAUUUACUCCCAUUUUUGGAGGUUGUGACGUUGCUGAUCGAUUAAUCGGGAAAAUGGCAAUGAAUGGAGAGCUUUGGUUGGGAUUUGACCCCAAACGGCUCCCAAAAUCUUCCCCAAAAAAUCGGGAAGUGCUGCUGGAGUGGGGGUGGAACAGCAGGGGGAGAUUUUUGGGGGUUUUUUGGAGUUUAUUCCCGUUUUUGGAGGUGAUGAGUUUUUGUGGCCAAUUAAUCAGGGAAAUGUUAAUAAAUGGAGAAUUUUGAUUCUGA